GAUGAACGCUGGCGGCGUGCCUAAUACAUGCAAGUCGAGCGAACAGACGAGGAGCUUGCUCCUCUGACGUUAGCGGCGGACGGGUGAGUAACACGUGGAUAACCUACCUAUAAGACUGGGAUAACUUCGGGAAACCGGAGCUAAUACCGGAUAAUAUAUUGAACCGCAUGGUUCAAUAGUGAAAGACGGUUUUGCUGUCACUUAUAGAUGGAUCCGCGCCGCAUUAGCUAGUUGGUAAGGUAACGGCUUACCAAGGCAACGAUGCGUAGCCGACCUGAGAGGGUGAUCGGCCACACUGGAACUGAGACACGGUCCAGACACCUACGGGAGGCAGCAGUAGGGAAUCUUCCGCAAUGGGCGAAAGCCUGACGGAGCAACGCCGCGUGAGUGAUGAAGGUCUUCGGAGCGUAAAACUCUGUUAUUAGGGAAGAACAAAUGUGUAAGUAACUAUGCACGUCUUGACGGUACCUAAUCAGAAAGCCACGGCUAACUACGUG
This 497-nucleotide ribosomal RNA is filed under the name uncultured bacterium. Its description in RNAcentral is "partial 16S ribosomal RNA". It matches the Rfam family "Bacterial small subunit ribosomal RNA", at positions 28 to 507 of the family's 1533-position model. The record is from RNAcentral.